CCUUGGGAGCAUUUCGGUAAGACAACUCAGGCAGGCUUUACUUAGGCCACUCCCCUAGGGCGGGUCAGUUAAUCAACUCACUUGUGCAGCAUCCUAUUUAAGUCCAGCCGAGCCGCUGUCCAUGCUACGUGGGAUGGCGACCUUCCUCAUCUACGUAAUCUCCUUGGACCUUGGUUAUCCUUUUAUUCGCCUGCUCCUCUGUGGCCUUCCUAAGGUGCGUCCCUCCAGGAAUGACUAAAUGUUACUUCUCUCUUACUAUUGGUGCAUAUAUAAAAUAUAUUUUGGUGAUAUAUUACGUGCAGAUUCUGUAUUGACUGUCUUUCUUGUUGGGAUCUAUGCUAAUGGUUUUCUAUGGUACUAUGAAUACAGAACCUUCUCUUUAAACUCACUACUUGAUAUCUCCUUCUCAGAGUUGUUCUUAAAAGGAAUUCAUUCCCUUUCAUCAUAAGCCUUCUAAACUAAUCAGGUAUAAAUUAUUUAUGUAUUCAUUGCCAAGACUGAUACUGCUUUGUCUAUCUAUGCAUCGCUUCCUGAGCCUGCGGCCCACUCUCCCCGGUCAGCAAUCCAGUUUCUGGAGGAUGAUGUCAAACCCUUGACAAAGUCGGAUGGUUUCCAAAUUCCAAAGUCUCUGCUCGUCCUGCUGCUCCCCUGCAGAUUGUUGCCCCUUCACCCGAUCUGGAUAUACAACGACGACUGCAUUCCACGCACCUACUCUGCCCUGAAGUGGUGGGGUGGCAAACCUCUUCCGAAUUUCAAUGACUUAUCUUACUUGAAUCAACUGAUAUGUUAGUAUCAGAAUGGCAUACAAAAUUUCAGAUUAGAUUUUAUGAAAAUUAUUUGCCAGGUGGAAGCCUCAAAAUUAGGAUGUUCUUAAGCUGUGUUACGAUAUGUGUGUAGUCCGAAAUUCGAGGUUACUUGGGCUCGUAUCUUAUGAGCCGGAUGAAAGCAUUAAAAAAUUAUAGCGUUAGCUCAUUCAUAGUUCUCAAAUGGAAGCUUUUAAUUAUGGAUAUCACUUAUGCUUUAUUAUAUUAUUCCAGUGGAAGCUUCAAACUUGUAUGUUAAGUUGUGCCGUCUACUUGCCGCUACUCGGAAUGGAGUGGCCCGACGGUCUACGGUGCCGGGUCACAUAACGGAUCCACCAGAUCGUGUGUUCCCUUCUUGGCGUCGUGCUGGAACGGGAGCGGCCCAAUGGUCAAUGGUGCCGGGUCACACAUAGCAGACUCAAUAAAUAGUAUGUUCCCUUCUUGGCAUUCUGCUCGAACGGGAGCGGCCCAAUGGUCAAAGGUGCCGGGUCACACAUAGCAGAUCCACUAGAUAGUGUGUUCCCCUCUUGGCGCUGUACUAGAAUGGGAGCGGCCCAACGGUCAAAGGUGCCGGGUCACACAUAGCAGAUCCACUAGAUAGUGUGUUCCCUUCUUGGCGCUGUACUCGAAUGGGAGCGGCCCAACGGUCAAAGGUGCUGGGUCACACAUAGCAGUCAUACUUGUAAGUCUGAAUAUGGAAUGCCUCUGAAACACACUUCAUCUGAUUACAUACUGAUAUACAUUUAAUUUCUUUCCAACCUUGAUUAAAUUGGUGUUGGGGGUAGUUAUUACCCAAAAGUUUAUGGAAAUUUCUCUCUCUUGGAAUUGCACGGAGUUUUAUGCCAAACCAAAGGAAAGUGAAAUGCAAAGUUAAAGGAAAGUGAAAUGCAAAGUUAAAGGAAAGUGAAAUGCAAAGUUAAAGGAAAGUGAAAUGCUUACUUGGAGGAAUAUGAAAUGCUUACUUGGAGGAAUGCGAAAUGCUUACUUGGAGGAAUGCGAAAUGCUUACUCAGAGGAAAGUGAAUGCUAACUAAGGAAAGUGAAUGUCAAAGAAUGUGAAAGCAACAAGUAUGUGGAAGCAAACUAAAGAUGUGAAAAUAAAUAUUAUUACUACUGCA
Molecule: long non-coding RNA, 1920 nt
Organism: Oryzias latipes (Japanese medaka)
Lineage: Eukaryota; Metazoa; Chordata; Actinopteri; Beloniformes; Adrianichthyidae
Source: RefSeq, a predicted model, not a curated record